Long non-coding RNA from Homo sapiens (human), 2193 nucleotides. Ensembl annotates it as long intergenic non-protein coding RNA 2532. NCBI's taxonomy places the organism in Eukaryota, Metazoa, Chordata, Mammalia, Primates, Hominidae. The record is from Ensembl.
GGAUGUGAGUGUGUAGACCUUGUACAAUAGAGCUUAUAGGCUAAUGAGAAGACAGGAAGAAACAACAGGAACACAUAUAGCUGGAAUGCAGAUGGGAUCUGUGCUACUUACGCUAGCCAUGGGAUGAUUAGAACAAGAUAAGAGACAUGAGGAAGACUUCUUCAAGGAGGUGCUCAAGCCAUGUUUUGGAAAAGAGAACUCAAGACUGCCUGGCAGCUCUUUAGAAAGUUGUGUGACGUAUGAACCAGUUCUUCCCUAUAUGAGAGUGUACCGUACAUCGCAGGCUGUCCAGCAUCGACCCCACUGAUGGAUGCUAGUAGUCCUCCCCGCCAGCACUCAACAUUGUGACAGUCAAAAACAUCCUCUCUACAUUUUCAAUGCCCCUGUUGGGGUAGCAGGACUCCCACUGAGAGACCCCAGUAGAGAUGGUCCCCAAGCAUGCUAACCAUGAAGCAGUGAUAUCGCACAGCACCUGCUUCCAGCAGCCCGGAGCCAAGGGGCAAAAUGGAAAGAGUCAGCAUUUCUCUUUUAGGUUCUCUGCCUCUCUAGUGUGUAAGCUUUUAACCCCCACUACGCGUCUUCGUUCCAUUCUCCUCCAGUACCCAUUUUAGUGAGCUUCUGUUGUUUCUGCCCCAGGAUAUCUCUAACAAAGAACCAAGAUAUUUAUCAGGAGAACUUCUCCCACUCUCCUCUCAGUCCUUGGGGAUCUGAUGAAAUGACACUUCUUGGACUGUGGGGUGGAGCAUGUGAGUCACACCUGGGCCAAUCAUUUUAUCCUAUUUCGUGACCACAUGACCAAUUCAGGGAUGGGAACAUGACCCAGGUGGAACCUAUGAGAGGCAGUGAGAUCUUUCCAGGUACUUCCAGGAAAGAGGGUCUCACUUUUCCCUCUAUAAUGUACACCAGAGAAGGUGUGUGGCUGAAGCUGCUACCAUCCUCUUGUGGCUACAGGAAGCUGGGAUUAAUUGUAACAACGCAAUUGGCAGAUCUGAAAGCUGAGAACAAAAAAGCAAAAAACCUGUGUUCUAAUAACACUAUAUAUGAGCCCUAAAUCCAGCUAUGCCUGGAGCCAGUCUUACUGUGGAAUUUUUAACCUAAGCUGGUUGAUAAAUUAUCUUUUCAUUUAAGACAAAGUCAUGGCAGAUUUUUUGCCACUUGUGAGAAGAAGACAGAUACACCCAAGAAGCUCCUGUUCUUUCUCAUUAACCCAUAUUAAAACCCACUUUCGGGAAAGGAUUCUCCAUUCUAAAUUAUUAAUAACUGAUAAUGCUUCAAAGUCAAAGUAUGACUCCUUCAAGAAAGUUUUCAGCUUUCAGGAUUUGUUCAGCAAAUACUGAGCCCCUUCUGAUGCAAAUAGACAUGGCAGUGUAUGCUAGGAGGAGAGUGUAGCCAAGUUUUCCCAUCAAACUCGGUAUUUCAGUGCCUAAUUUUGGCCAUUCAGAUAAGUUUCAACUUCUAGUAAUGGCCAAGUAAAUUAUAUCUAACUAAACCUUCUGCCAAAGACAGUGGUAAAUUCUGGACCCAAAACACAAUGAUAACAACAAAACCUGUUUGAAGGUUCUUGAAACUGGCCAACAUGGUUUGGUUCUGCAGACAAAAACUGAAGACAUGACCCUUGAAAAAAGGAAAUCACAUAUGGUGAGAUACACAUUUAUCAGGUUUUCCUUCAGCAGCGCUAUCCAUUUCCUGCAGUGGACGGAGGUAGAGCUCAGCAGAAAGUGGCUGUUCUACUGAGUUAAAAAGUUAGAGGUUAGAAUUUGGGGCUUCCACAGUAGCAGGAGAUUGGGAAGGAGGGAAUCUCGCAAAGGAGGGAGUCUCAGAUGGGGAGCUCCCAAAUCUGUGUACAAACUUCUCUGAUUCCUAAACUGUGCAUCUGGGUGAGGUUCAAGGAGCUGAGGGAAAAAUAACAGCUGGAAGGCUAAAAAGGUGUUGUCUUGUGUUGAGCAGAUGGUGCUUAGGGUUUAGUUCUCACCAAGUUAGAGGACUCUGGAGAACACCUAAAGCUUUCUACUGAGACUACAGAAGGAGUAAUGACUACUCCCCAGGACUAAAGCCUAUGUCCUAGGAAUAAAGGCAAAACCAAGAUAGGCCCACCCUGACAAAGCCUAAAACCAACUCUUCAUAGCCGCAUUAUGCAAUAUAGUAACUUCUAGGCACACAUGGCAUUUCAAAUUUAAUUAAAACUAAGUAAAA